Non-coding RNA from Myotis brandtii (Brandt's bat), 75 nucleotides. Lineage: Eukaryota; Metazoa; Chordata; Mammalia; Chiroptera; Vespertilionidae. The record is from Rfam.
GGUGGUUCUGGGGUGAGGCACCCAAGAAUUGGGAUCCCUCCUCUCUGGUUCCAGGUGCAUCACCCUAGAACCACA